CCACGUGUCAAAACUUUGAGCAGAAGACAAUGCUCGGUUAGUGGUUACCGUCAACACAGCUGUGAGAAGGGCCACUCACUGAGCUUAAAGACCAAACCGCAACGGUACACCUGCGUGUCUUCUGUGCUCCUCCUGCGAAUUUCACCGGCCCAGAUCCUCCAAGAUGGCGUCAGCGUGGUCGGUGGGAAUUCUCUUUAUUCUGCAGUUCAUCCUUGGCAACGCGCUGGCUCCCCCCGAGGACUGCUCCAGCCUGCCUCUCCUCCAAGUUAGCUUUGGGGAUACGACCCUGAAUGGCUGCGGGACGGAGGGACAGCAGCCCUUGUACAGGAGUCUGAAAAGCAUCGGAUACGAGAACGUCGAAGCGGUAAGGCUUUUA
Long non-coding RNA from Penaeus chinensis, 376 nucleotides. RefSeq lists it as uncharacterized. Lineage: Eukaryota; Metazoa; Arthropoda; Malacostraca; Decapoda; Penaeidae. The record is from RefSeq and is a predicted model, not a curated record. The transcript is spliced from 3 exons.